GAUGAACGCUGGCUACAGGCUUAACACAUGCAAGUCGAGGGGAAACGACGGGGAAGCUUGCUUCCCCGGGCGUCGACCGGCGCACGGGUGAGUAACGCGUAUCCAACCUGCCUCUGACUGAGGGAUAACCCGUCGAAAGUCGGCCUAAUACCUCAUGGCAUCGUCUGCGGGCAUCCAACGACGAUUAAAGAUUUCAUCGGUCAGGGAUGGGGAUGCGUCUGAUUAGCUUGUUGGCGGGGUAACGGCCCACCAAGGCUACGAUCAGUAGGGGUUCUGAGGGGAAGGUCCCCCACAUUGGAACUGAGACACGGUCCAAAAUCCUACGGGAGGCAGCAGUGAGGAAUAUUGGGAAAUGGGCGGGAGCCUGAACCAGUCAAGUAGCGUGCAGGAUGACGGGCAUAUGGGUUGUAAACUGCUUUUAUGCGGGGAUAAAGUGAGGGACGUGUCCUUCAUUGCAGGUACCGGAUGAAUAAGGACCGGCUAAGUCCGUG
This 491-nucleotide ribosomal RNA is filed under the name uncultured bacterium. RNAcentral's name for it is "partial 16S ribosomal RNA". It matches the Rfam family "Bacterial small subunit ribosomal RNA", at positions 28 to 507 of the family's 1533-position model. The record is from RNAcentral.